This 459-nucleotide ribosomal RNA is filed under the name uncultured beta proteobacterium. RNAcentral describes it as "bacterial SSU rRNA". It matches the Rfam family "Bacterial small subunit ribosomal RNA", at positions 1036 to 1500 of the family's 1533-position model. The record is from RNAcentral. Lineage: Bacteria; Pseudomonadati; Pseudomonadota; Betaproteobacteria.
AGGUGCUGCAUGGUUGUCGUCAGCUCGUGUCGUGAGAUGUUGGGUUAAGUCCCGCAACGAGCGCAACCCUUGUCUUUAGUUGCUACGCAAGAGCACUCUAAAGAGACUGCCGGUGACAAACCGGAGGAAGGUGGGGAUGACGUCAAGUCCUCAUGGCCCUUAUGGGUAGGGCUUCACACGUCAUACAAUGGUGCAUACAGAGGGUUGCCAACCCGCGAGGGGGAGCUAAUCUCAGAAAAUGCAUCGUAGUCCGGAUCGUAGUCUGCAACUCGACUACGUGAAGCUGGAAUCGCUAGUAAUCGCGGAUCAGCAUGUCGCGGUGAAUACGUUCCCGGGUCUUGUACACACCGCCCGUCACACCAUGGGAGUGGGUUUCACCAGAAGUAGUUAGCCUAACCGCAAGGGGGGCGAUUACCACGGUGGGGUUCAUGAGCUGGGGUGAAGUCGUAACAAGGUAUC